AGGCUGAGACUUGAUGCAUACCCGUUGUGGGGAAUUCAGUGAUCCUAUGCUGCCGAGAAAAGCCUCUAGUGAGUUCAUACACGGCCCGUACCCCGAACCGACACAGGUGAUCAGGUAGAGAAUACCAAGGCGAUCGAGAGAACUGUGGUUAAGGAACUCGGCAAAAUGCCCCCGUAACUUCGGGAGAAGGGGGACCAUGCCCGGUGAACAUCUUCACGGUGGGAGCUGGGUGUGGUCGCAGAGACCAGAGAGAAGCGACUGUUUACUAAAAACACAGGUCCGUGCGAAGACGUAAGUCGAUGUAUACGGACUGACGCCUGCCCGGUGCUGGAAGGUUAAGAGGACCGGUUAGCCGUAAGGCGAAGCUGAGAAUUUAAGCCCCAGUAAACGGCGGUGGUAACUAUAACCAUCCUAAGGUAGCGAAAUUCCUUGUCGGGUAAGUUCCGACCUGCACGAAUGGCGUAACGACUUCUCUGCUGUCUCGACCACAGACUCGGCGAAAUUGCACUACGAGUAAAGAUGCUCGUUACGCGCGGCAGGACGAAAAGACCCCGGGACCUUUACUAUAGCUUGGUAUUGGCGUUCGAUUCGGUUUGUGUAGGAUAGGUGGGAGACUGUGAAGCAUGCACGCCAGUGUGUGUGGAGUCGUUGUUGAAAUACCACUCUGAUCGUAUUGGACGUCUAACCUCGGCCCAUGAUCUGGGUUAGGGACAGUGCCUGGUGGGUAGUUUAACUGGGGCGGUUGCCUCCUAAAGAGUAACGGAGGCGCCCAAAGGUUCCCUCAGCCUGGAUGGCAAUCAGGUGUUGAGUGCAAGUGCACAAGGGAGCUUGACUGUGAGACUGACACGUCGAGCAGGGACGAAAGUCGGGACUAGUGAUCCGGCACCGGCAAGUGGAAGCGGUGUCGCUCAACGGAUAAAAGGUACCCCGGGGAUAACAGGCUGAUCUUCCCCAAGAGUCCAUAUCGACGGGAUGGUUUGGCACCUCGAUGUCGGCUCGUCGCAUCCUGGGGCUGGAGUAGGUCCCAAGGGUUGGGCUGUUCGCCCAUUAAAGCGGCACGCGAGCUGGGUUUAGAACGUCGUGAGACAGUUCGGUCUCUAUCCGCCGCGCGCGUAAGAAACUUGAGGAAGGCUGUCCCUAGUACGAGAGGACCGGGACGGACGAACCUCUGGUGUGCCAGUUGUUCCACCAGGAGCAUGGCUGGUUAGCUACGUUCGGAAGGGAUAACCGCUGAAAGCAUCUAAGCGGGAAGCCUGUUCCAAGAUGAGGUUUCUCACCACCUUGCGUGGUUAAGGCCCCCUACAGACCAUGGGGUUGAUAGGCCGGAACUGGAAGCGCAGCAAUGCGUGGAGGUGACCGGUACUAAUAGGCCGAGGGC
Molecule: ribosomal RNA, 1378 nt
Filed under: metagenome
Description: bacterial LSU rRNA
Rfam family: Bacterial large subunit ribosomal RNA
Source: RNAcentral